Molecule: long non-coding RNA, 890 nt
Filed under: Cyanistes caeruleus (blue tit)
Lineage: Eukaryota; Metazoa; Chordata; Aves; Passeriformes; Paridae
Description: lncRNA (ENSCCEG00000001603.1)
Source: RNAcentral
CGGAACUCCCGCUCCGCGCCCUGCCCGGGAGACCCUCGCCCCCCACGCCGCUCCCCUUCCUUGCUUCCUCCCCCCUACUUGUUUCCUCCCUGCCUGGAAGGGCCGCCGUGCCGCCUGUGCGAGCCCCGAGAGCUGCACGCAGCCCUACCCCUCUCCAGGGCUAUGCCCCUGACAGACAACGUCUCCCCGGCAUGCCGGGGGGAGAAGCUGAGGGGGAGGCCUCUCACCGAGAGGGACCCCGCACGCUGACAGCGGCCCCGGAGAGGCCGAGGCAGCCCCCGCCAGCCUGGCAUCCUCACAGCUACGACACGGUUCUGAGCCCCUGUGCACACACAUGCCGCUCCUCGCCCACGCGCUGACUAAGGAUGCUGUGGGAGGAAGGCUUUGGGUGCGACGGCAGGAGAAAAUAAUAGGCAAUGUUGGGGUUUGCUCGCUGUCUCAGUCAGUGUUGGCAGCAGUAGUACUCCAGCAGCGUGCUGCUGUGGGCUGUGGAGGAAAGGCUGGUGCUAGCAAGCCAGUUCCAAGGCGGUGGCAGCUCUCCUCAAAAGAAGAUAUGGAAAAUUAUUUGGAAUGUGUCUCGAACAGGCUCUCCUUCUGCCUCACACAUCUCCGUGUUCUUCAUAAUCUCAGCAUGUGGCUAGUGGAUGAAGCUGCGUCUCUGAAUCUUAAAGGACAGCAGGCAUACCUGUGCAUUGCUUAGCUUCAAGUGACAUCACAACUGGAUUCCUACAAUUUCUCAUGAAGGAGAAGUUUUCAGCCUUACAGAAGAUCUCCCUCAAAUGAAAUCCUGUAAGCAACAGUUGUUGGUAGCUGCUUUACUGUGAACUAGAAUGAGACCUUUCACCAUUCAAAGUCUUAUUUUUAAGAGGUUCUACCCAGGUGAUACAAAG